Molecule: long non-coding RNA, 1540 nt
Organism: Lepus europaeus (European hare)
Lineage: Eukaryota; Metazoa; Chordata; Mammalia; Lagomorpha; Leporidae
Exons: 5
Source: RefSeq, a predicted model, not a curated record
ACGCGGCGGCGGCGGCGGCUGCUGGCCUCGGCGCCGCCCCGGUUCCACUUUCCCUUUCGCUGUCAGGCGGCCGGCUUUCACUUCCUGAGUCAUUUAAAGUGGCAAUGGCCCUUUUCUGCUUUUCCCGCGGGGCUCGGCUCCGCUGCUCCCAGCCUCGGCAUCCCCGGAAGGUGGAGGAGGACUGAUGGAGCCUCUCGCUCACUCGGGAGGCGGGAAUGGGGACCCCGCCUCCCCCACGCCGUCCCCGGAGCUUUUCGAAAGCUGGUUAUGGAAGAUCCGCUGCUCCAGGACCUCCGAUGCUUGGUGCUAGACUCAUAGGCAGAGUGGACAGUGAGAGUGGUUCACCCUCCAAUGGCCACCGUGGCCAGCGCACCGCACUGAUCUGAAGGCAGGAGCCAGGCGCUUUUCCUGGUCCCCCAUGGGGUGCAGGGCCCAAGCACUUGGGCCAUCCUCCACUGCACUCCCUGGCCACAGCAGAGAGCUGGCCUGGAAGAGGGGCAACUGGGACAGAAUCUGGUGCCCCUACCGGGACUAGAACCUGGUGUGCCGGUGCUGCAAGGCGGAGGAAUAGCCCAUUGAGCCGUGGCGCUGGCCCAAUCUCACUAUCUUUACAAUCUAAUAUUAAGUGUUGUAUUCUUUUGGGGAUGUCAUGAUGUCUUCCUGUUUCUUGUUUCUUGAAUUGGUACAUUUGUUAUUUGGCAUUUGUGGAGAUAUUUGUUGGCUGCUUCUUUGUUUUUUUUGCUGCGGUGGCUUUUAUCUUCGGACCAUGUCUAGCUGUUUACUUCUUAUGCUCGUUAUCCACAGAACAAUUCUAUAGAAUGUUGAUAAAAAAUCAAGUUUUUCUAUCCAAUUCAACAUACAUUCCUGUUUUCUUUCAGGUCAUUCCUCUGAACUUUUUUUCUAUGUCUGCAUUCAAAAGAGGGAUUGAUGCAUAAUUCUGAAAAAGGACAUUCAAUACGUGUCAACUUGAACAUCAACAUUAUUAUACCUAAAGCAGAGAGAUGGCAAAAGAGACAGAGAAAUAGAGAGGGAGAUCCCCUCUGCUGGGUUCACUCUCUUCACUCUCCAAAUGCCUGACUGUCAGGGUUGGGCCAAGUCAAAGCCAGGAACCUGGAACCCAGUCCGGGUCUCCCAUGUUGGUGGCGGGACCUAACUACUUGAAUCAUCGCCUGCUGCUCCCAGGGUCUGCAUUAGCAGGAAGGUGGAAUCAGGAGCAGAGCCAAGACUGGAACCCAAGCACUCUGAAAUCCAUAUCCACCCUGAGGCACAUUUAAGAUAUGAUGAGAGUUGGGCUGAAUGGAGUCACCAUAUCAUGCAAGAAAGCAAGUGCGAGUCAAUGGGAGCUGUGUAUCAGGAUGCUUAAAGAGUAAGCAUUUCAGAACCCGACAGACCUGGAUGUGAAUCCUGACCCCGCCAUGUGUUUCCUUGGGGAAAACUCUGAAUGCAUUAUUUAAUUUCUUUAACUCAGUUAUUUUUUUUUUUCUGUACAAUAUGGGGGAGGGGUCAUGUCACUUGCUCCAUAGGUUCAUUGUAAAAGUUA